This 440-nucleotide ribosomal RNA is filed under the name uncultured bacterium. RNAcentral describes it as "partial 16S ribosomal RNA". It matches the Rfam family "Bacterial small subunit ribosomal RNA", at positions 338 to 795 of the family's 1533-position model. The record is from RNAcentral.
CCUACGGGUGGCAGCAGUAGGGAAUAUUGCACAAUGGGGGAAACCCUGACGCAGCGACGCCGCGUGAGUGAUGAAGUAUUUCGGUAUGUAAAGCUCUGUCAGCAGGGACGAAAAUGACCGUACCUGACUAAGAAGCCCCGGCUAACUACGGGCCAGCAGCCGCGGUAAGAAGGAGGGGGCAAGCGGUUGCCGGAUGUACUGGGUGGAAAGGGGGCGUAGACGGUUAAUCAAGUCAUGAGUGAAAACCCAGGGCUCAACCUUGGGACUGCAUUUGACAAUGAGUAGCUUGAGUGCAGGAGAGGUAAAGGGAAUUCCUGGUGUAGCGGUGAAAUGCGGAGAUAUCACGAGGAACUUCGGUGGCGAAGGCGGCAUACCGGGGCGCAAUUGACGCUGAGGCACGAAAGCGUGGGUAGCAAACAGGAUUAGAUACCCCAGUAGUC